AGAAGGGAGCAGGUUGCGCAUGGUCGCUUAGAGGGAUUGCGUUAAACUUUCGUCAUGGUAUGUCUCCCUCUGAUCGAUCGUAGUAGGUGAAAAUACUUAUUCCGGUAGGUUCGUGAAGAUAUUAGCGCGAAACGAUAUUAUGUUCCGCUAUACAUCAAGGAUGUAAGUAGGUCUCGCGGAAAAUACAUCCGACGAAGCAUUAAGGUGCAUGUAGUCCUUUUUUCGAACGGCAAUAAAACUAUUCUUUGUCGCGUAUAGAAUUAUUUUACAUCGGCCGAGCAGUCGCCAUCUUGUCUUUGAGAGAAAGAGAGAGAGAGAGAGAGAGAGAGAGAGAGAAAGAAAGAAAGAAAAAGAAAGAGAGAAACGGGCCGUGGCUGUGGUAUAGAUCGCAUUGUGACAGCUUGGGAAAAGAAGCGUUCGAUAGACGGUCGGUCUUGAUGCGGUGCGCGCGUUCAUCGCGUCGCUUGUGCUCUCUACGAACGUAGAGAGAACGUAUCGUUUAUAGAAGAGAGUAACGAGCUCAAAGAUUGAAAAACGAAAGGAAGACUUUCUGGAAAGUGUGAAGUCGAAGAAAGUGGCAUAGAACGUACUGAAGGUAAUGGCAAUGGAGACGCCAAGAGAACGAGAGAUAGCCGCGGAGGAUAGUAUUAAGGUAGUCUGCAGGUUUCGACCGUUGAAUGACUCUGAGGAAAAGGCUGGCUCAAAGUUUAUUGUCAAGUUCCCAUCAGGUGGAGAAGAGAAUUGCAUCUCGAUUGGGGGAAAAGUAUAUCUUUUUGACAAAGUAUUUAAACCAAAUGCUACUCAAGACAAAGUAUAUAAUGAAGCAGCUAAAUCUAUUGUCACGGAUGUAUUGGCAGGAUAUAACGGUACUAUUUUUGCUUAUGGACAAACAUCAUCAGGAAAAACCCAUACAAUGGAAGGUGUUAUUGGAGAUCCUAAUAAACAGGGUAUCAUUCCAAGGAUUGUUAAUGAUAUUUUCAAUCAUAUUUAUAUUAUGGAGGAGAAUUUAGAGUUCCAUAUUAAAGUAUCUUAUUUUGAAAUUUACAUGGACAAGAUUAGAGAUCUUCUUGAUGUUUCUAAGGUAAACUUAAGUGUGCACGAAGAUAAAAAUCGAGUUCCGUUUGUAAAAGGAGCAACUGAACGAUUUGUGUCUAGUCCAGAAGAAGUUUUUGAAGUAAUUGAAGAAGGAAAGUCUAAUCGACAUAUCGCCGUAACCAAUAUGAAUGAACACAGUUCUCGUUCUCAUUCAGUUUUCUUAAUUAAUGUCAAACAAGAAAAUCUUGAGAAUCAAAAAAAACUUUCAGGAAAGUUAUAUCUCGUUGAUUUGGCUGGUUCAGAAAAGGUGUCUAAAACUGGAGCUGAAGGUACUGUUCUUGAUGAGGCAAAAAAUAUUAACAAGUCUCUAUCUGCUCUUGGUAACGUUAUAUCUGCGCUUGCCGAUGGCAACAAGACGCACAUUCCUUACCGUGAUUCUAAACUGACAAGAAUUUUGCAAGAAUCACUUGGUGGCAAUGCUCGAACUACAAUUAUCAUUUGUUGUUCACCUGCUAGUUUUAACGAGUCAGAAACCAAAUCAACUCUAGAUUUCGGUAAACGUGCGAAGACUAUAAAGAAUGUUGUGUGUGUCAAUGAAGAAUUAACUGCGGAAGAGUGGAAACGCCGUUAUGAACGUGAGAAGGAAAAGGCUGCUAGACUUAAAGGUAAAGUUGAAAAAUUAGAAGCAGAAUUGUCUCGUUGGCGUCAAGGUGAGACAGUAAAGCCCGAAGAACAAGUCAGUUUAGUGGAAGGACCUGAUGUUAUUACACCAAUUACUGCAUCUGUCGAAGGCAAACUUGACGACGGUCCUCUGCCAGCUACACCUGGUGGUGGACUUAUGGCUGGAUCUCUUUCGAAUGAAGAAAGGCAAAAACUAGAGGAAGAACGUGAAAGACUGUAUCAACAGUUAGAUGACAAGGAUGAAGAGAUUAAUCAACAAUCUCAAUAUGUUGAAAAGUUAAAGGAACAAAUGGAAGAACAAGAGGAAUUGAUUGCAAGCGCUAGACGGGACUAUGAACAAUUGCAACAAGAAAUGAAUAGAAUACAACAAGAAAAUGAAAGUGCUAAAGAGGAAGUCAAAGAAGUUCUACAAGCUCUGGAAGAAUUGGCAGUGAAUUAUGAUCAAAAAUCGCAAGAGGUGGAAUUGAAAAAUAAACAACAUGAAAGAUUGACAGAAGAAUUUCUUGCUAAACAAGCGACGUUAAAUAAUAUUGAAUCUGAAUUACAGCAAUUACGUGAUAUGUCCGCUCAUCAGAGAAAACGUAUUGCUGACAUGUUUGCCAAUUUUUUAAAAGAUUUAGGAGAAAUUGGAGUGGCUAUAGGUGGUGAUGAAAAUCUUAAAGUUGCACCAGAAAAUAAUGGUAAAUUGGAAGAAGAAUUUACGGUCGCAAGACUCUUUAUUAGUAAAAUGAAAUCAGAGGUAAAAAAUUUAGUUCAGCGUUGUCAAGGAUUAGAGAGUUCUCAAGUGGAUUGCAACAAGAAAGUUUCUGAAUAUGAAAAAGAUUUGGCAGAAUGUCGACUUCUAAUCAGUCAACAUGAAGCUCGUACGCAAACAUUAUCAGAAUCUAUGAAAGAAUCUGAAGCACGAAAACGUGCCCUGGAAGAAGAUGUGGAUGCGCUACGGGAAGAAUGUGCAAAACUUAAAGCAGCAGAACAGGUGCAAGCAGUCACUAAUAAAGAGAAAGCAGAAGAAAAAGAAGCAGCUACAAAGAUGAAAGUAGCUCUAGAAGAGCAAAUGGAUCAACUGCGUGAUGUACAUCAAAAGCAGGUUGCUGCGCUUAGGGAUGAAUUAUCUGAAAAACAAGAUUUGAUCGGUGAAUUAAGAGAUUUGAAUCAAAAAUUCACUUUAGCGCAUCAACGAAUGCAAGCAGAUUAUGAACGAUUGAAGCAGGAAGAAGUAAAUAAAUCGGUUAAACUCCAAGAAAUGAUACUGCUUCAUGAACGUCGAGAACAAGCUAGAAAAGAGCUUAAAGGACUAGAGGAUACUGUUUGCAAAGAAUUGCAAACACUUCACAAUUUACGUAAAUUAUUCGUUCAAGACUUGCAGACUAGGAUAAAAAAAUCAAUUCACGUCGAGGAUAAUGAGGAUGAUGGUGGUUCACUUGCUCAGAAGCAGAAGAUUUCCUUUUUAGAAAAUAAUCUAGAUCAGCUUACGAAGGUUCACAAACAAUUAGUUAGAGAUAAUGCGGAUCUUCGAUGUGAAUUACCUAAACUUGAAAAGAAAUUAAGGACAACCGUUGAACGUGUAAAAGCUUUGGAAACAGCUUUGCGAGAUGCCAAAGAAGGUGCAAUGCGAGAUCGUAAGCGUUACCAAUAUGAAGUAGAUAGGAUUAAAGAAGCUGUCAGACAGAAAAAUUUGGCUCGCCGUGGACCUAGUGCACAGAUUGCAAAGCCUAUUCGAGCUGGUCAGCAUCAUUUAAGCAACGUUAAUGCUAUUAGAACUGGCAACCGUGAUGCGCUUAAUUAAGAUACUACAAUGUGAUUGGGAAAUGUGGGUUUGUUCGAUUUUGUACAAAUGGAGUCACUUCAGGCUGCUCUACAUUUUGGAAACACGAUCGCAAGAACAAUUUGCGUGCUGAGGUGCUAGGAGAUCGAAACAAACUAAUCUAUGAUGUAUUCACAUAAAUGUUAUAUUUUAAAGGCAAUAGAUGUAUUAUAAUCUUAAAUAGCACCGCCACUUCUUUUUUUUGUAGAAACGAGCAUGUGCUUAAAAGUAUACUAAUAUGAGUGCAUCAAAUUAUUAAUGCGCUGCAUGUCCCAUCCAUGUAUAAAUAUUUAACUCAAUUGCACUUAUAAAAAAUACCGUAAAUAUUCUCAAUACUUUCUCAAUUACAUAACACAAUCUUAUUAAAAUAGCUUCGUUCUUCUGUGACUACAUAGCAUAAUUUUUUUCAAAAACUUAAAAAUAGAAUAAUAAUAAUAAUAAUAAUAAUAAUAAUAAUAAUAAUAAUAAAAAUAAUAGUAAUAAUAAUGAUAAUGAUAAUAAUAAUAAUAAUGACAACAAUAAUACUAUGCGAUUGUUAUCGUUACAACAUCCGGUCUACCAUGGACUUUAUUUGUAAUAUCAAGUGUCAUUAAACUUAUGAUAAAUGCAUUCAAAAUCGAAUGUUUUGGAUGGUACUAUUAAACUUGGAAACAAAAUGUUACUAAUUCAAUUAAAAGAUAUGAUCGGAUAUGCGGCCUUGAAAAGAAUGGUAGAAAUAAUCAUGGCUUAUAAGUAUUCUUAGUUAUAAAAAACUUCCUUUGUAGUUACUGAAGAUUACAAUUGUCAAGAAUCAUAUCAAAUCUUGGACCUAUUUGGUGUGCCCACUUAGCGAGAGUUAAGUGCAUUGGUUUCUUACCAAUAAAAUUGUAAAUCCAGAAGCGAAUGAUAUUUAUAGAAAAAAUAUAGACAAAAAGUAAUCAUCUUCACUUCAAUUUACAUAUAUUACUUUUAUAUAACCAAUUGUCGCCACAUUAAAUACAUUGCUAAUGGUUUCAUUUAUAUUAAUUUAUUUUGUAUUCUAAUUUAUAUUAAAGACAAAUCAAAGCUGUUUGUCAAACAAUUGUUUUACAUUCUGUGCAAAUAUAUUAAAUAUUUAACGUUU
Molecule: RNA transcript, 4622 nt
Organism: Vespa velutina
Lineage: Eukaryota; Metazoa; Arthropoda; Insecta; Hymenoptera; Vespidae
Gene: Khc
Gene name: kinesin heavy chain
Exons: 15
Source: RefSeq, a predicted model, not a curated record